CUCACGGAUACCUACGGAGGCUGUGAAGCCAGGGCCUUUCUAGUUCUUGGCUGACCCCCAGUGUCCUGUACAGAGCCUGGCCCACAGUAGCUGCUGCCUGUAUUUGUUGAAUGAAUGAAUGAAGGUGUAUACUCAGCAUGUGAUCUUGCACUGUCAUUGGUUGUCCCCACAUCCUCAUUUGUGUUGGCUUAAGCAGAGAGGCUUUGAGGAUCGGGUCAUGUUUCACUCAUGUUCCAUAGGAGAAGUGUGUCCUCCUGAGAUAGGAGCAUGUGGCAGGGGCCUGGCUAGCUCUGCGGUUCUACAGCUCUGCGGGUCUUUGAGACCUUCUGUUCCCCCAGGCCAGCCACGCUUCCCCUCCUGAGCUCUACGGGCAUUCCUGCCAUGAGGACUCAUGAUCCUGAAGACAAUGAAGAAGAAAUAUGACAGUCGGUCCCGAGUGUGGAAUGAACACUCUGCUCUCCCAGCUGGGGAACUCCGUGAGGACCCACAUAAGCAAUGCAGAAGCAUUGGGAAACACAUGCAAUAACUGGGGCCAUCUGUUUUCUCCUGAAAACUAGUGGUGGGCUGGAUUCUCUGAAGAGUUUCUCAAGGCAUGUUGGACCAGAACAACCUGCUCAGAGAAGAGGCAAGGUCCCUGCCUGGGCCUCUGAGGUGUUGGAGGUGGGGCCAGCCCACCCCCAGGCCGUGAGGCCUGGCUGCUGGAAGGAGGCAGGACCCAGAAGGUUGCUGCCAUCCUGGGGUGUCUGAGUCCCCAUGUGGCCCAGCUGUGUUCCUGCUGGCCCGGCAUCCACACCCUUGUCUCUGGAUGUGCGGUGGGAGAAUUGUCUUUCUCCACGAACAGGCCAGGUGGUUCCUGGGAUUGACCUCUCUCUCCCAGGUGUGGACAAGCAGAGCAUCCUACGUCCCCAGCUACAGCGACUGGCUGAUAUGGUUUGGCUGUGUCCCCACCCAAAGCUCAUCUUGAAUUCCCACGUGUUGUGGGAGGGACCCAGUGGGAGGUAAUUGAAUCAUGGGGGCAGGUCUUUCCUGUGCUGUUCUCAUGAUAGUGAGUAAAUCUCACAAGAUCUAAUGGUUUUAUAAGGAGGCUGCACAAGCUCUUUCUCUGCCUGCUGCCAACCAUGUAAGAUGUGACUUGCUCCUCCUUUGCCUUCCACCAUGAUUAUGAGGCUUCUCCUGCCACAUGGAACUGUGAGUCCAUUAAAAUCUUUUUCCUGGAUAAAUUACCUAGUCUCGGGUAUGUCUUUAUCAGCAGCGUGAAAACGGACUAAUACGCUGGGCUAGGCUUGGUCAUGUGACCCAGGCCAAUCAAUGAAAUACAGGCUUGGGACUUUUGCAGGGAUAAUUUAGACAGGAAGGCUCUUUUCCCAUUAGGGUGCUAGGCUGGGCUAAUAUGUCAAACCAGCUGGUGGUCUCCCUCUUUAACCACAUGGAGAAAUCCCUUGCAAGUAGAAAAAAAAAAGCAAAGCUAUUAGACAGAGGAGGGUAGAGCUGAAGAUGGGGUGAUAGACAGCCCUGAUGACAUUGUUUGAAUCCCUGGAUCCAGGUGGUCCUGAAGCCUGCCUACCACCCCUGGUCUUUUAGGUAUUUGAACCCAUCACUUCCUUGUUUUGCUUAAACAAACUGUGGUUAGGUUCAGAAUCCUGGUUUAAACACCCGUCCCUGAGUUCUUUCAUAGGUUGCACUUGCUGUCCCAGGGCCUUUACUGUCUAGGUUGGAUGAUAGGUACACAGCCUUUCUCCUGUACUGGGGUGGAAGCCCUGGUGCCUGCUAUAUCUGGGCUUUGAUGCCUGGGUCAGGAUCUUGAAACUUCUCUGCAGGCAUUUCCUUUCAUGGGAAGCCCAGCAACUUGGCUGUUAGACUUGAGGUCAAAUCCUGGUCCUGCCACUGGGCAGGUGACCCUGUCUGCACCCCACUAUCCUCAUCUUUACAUUCUCCUGGGGAUAAUAUCCCCACCUCCCAGGAUGUCGGGGGAAUGAAUGAGAGAUGCUGUGAAGCACCAGGCAAGGUGCUGGUGGAUGUGGGAGCUGUUUCAAUUAUUGUUAUUUGUGCCUCACACACCCAGAGUGAAAGGGAAGCUGUGGGCUGGUCUCACAGGCCAGCCCCUGCAGCCUCUGAGUUUUUUAAUGAA
RNAcentral lists this long non-coding RNA (2128 nucleotides) under Homo sapiens (human). RNAcentral's name for it is "HSALNT0055201". Lineage: Eukaryota; Metazoa; Chordata; Mammalia; Primates; Hominidae. The record is from RNAcentral.